This 164-nucleotide ribosomal RNA is filed under the name Senecio coriaceus. Its description in RNAcentral is "5.8S ribosomal RNA". It matches the Rfam family "5.8S ribosomal RNA". From Rfam's summary of the family: 5.8S ribosomal RNA (5.8S rRNA) is a component of the large subunit of the eukaryotic ribosome. It is transcribed by RNA polymerase I as part of the 45S precursor that also contains 18S and 28S rRNA. Lineage: Eukaryota; Viridiplantae; Streptophyta; Magnoliopsida; Asterales; Asteraceae. The record is from RNAcentral.
UMAACGACUCUCGGCAACGGAUAUCUCGGCUCACGCAUCGAUGAAGAACGUAGCAAAAUGCGAUACUUGGUGUGAAUUGCAGAAUCCCGUGAACCAUCGAGUUUUUGAAMGCAAGUUGCGCCCGAAGCYUUUUGGCUGAGGGCACGUCUGCCUGGGCGUCACAC